Molecule: ribosomal RNA, 399 nt
Filed under: uncultured bacterium
Lineage: Bacteria
Description: bacterial SSU rRNA
Rfam family: Bacterial small subunit ribosomal RNA
Source: RNAcentral
AGAGUUUGAUCCUGGCUCAGAUUGAACGCUGGCGGCAGGCUUAACACAUGCAAGUCGAGCGGGGAAGGGUAGCUUGCUACCUAACCUAGCGGCGGACGGGUGAGUAAUGCUUAGGAAUCUGCCUAUUGGUGGGGGACAACAUUCCGAAAGGAAUGCUAAUACCGCAUACGCCCUACGGGGGAAAGCAGGGGAUCUUCGGACCUUGCGCUAAUAGAUGAGCCUAAGUCAGAUUAGCUAGUUGGUGGGGUAAAGGCCUACCAAGGCGACGAUCUGUAGCGGGUCUGAGAGGAUGAUCCGCCACACUGGGACUGAGACACGGCCCAGACUCCUACGGGAGGCAGCAGUGGGGAAUAUUGCGCAAUGGACGAAAGUCUGACGCAGCGACGCCGCGUGAGGGAC